Melanotaenia boesemani (Boeseman's rainbowfish) is the source of this 136-nucleotide small nucleolar RNA. RefSeq annotates it as small nucleolar RNA SNORA51. The transcript has a single exon. NCBI's taxonomy places the organism in Eukaryota, Metazoa, Chordata, Actinopteri, Atheriniformes, Melanotaeniidae. The record is from RefSeq and is a predicted model, not a curated record.
AUCCUCCCAAUGCUUACCGCAGGCAGUGCACCACAGAGUGCUGUCUGUAUAGAAACGGGAGGAAGAGCAGCUUCUCCUAACAUUUGUGCUCUGCCAGCUAUAAUCUGGCAAGGCAUUCUUGUUGGGUGAGACAUUA